GAUGAACGCUGGCGGCGUGCCUAAUACAUGCAAGUCGAGCGAACGGACGAGAAGCUUGCUUCUCUGAUGUUAGCGGCGGACGGGUGAGUAACACGUGGAUAACCUACCUAUAAGACUGGGAUAACUUCGGGAAACCGGAGCUAAUACCGGAUGAUAUUUUGAACCGCAUGGUUCAAAAGUGAAAGACGGUCUUGCUGUCACUUAUAGAUGGAUCCGCGCUGCAUUAGCUAGUUGGUAAGGUAACGGCUUACCAAGGCAACGAUGCAUAGCCGACCUGAGAGGGUGAUCGGCCACACUGGAACUGAGACACGGUCCAGACUCCUACGGGAGGCAGCAGUCGGGAACCGUCCGCAAAGGGCGAAAGCCUGACGGAGCAACGGCGCGUGAGUGAUGAAGGUCUUCGGAUCGUAAAACUCUGUUAUUAGGGAAGAACAUAUGUGUAAGUAACUGUGCACAUCUUGACGGUACCUAAUCAGAAAGCCACGGCUAACUACGUG
This 497-nucleotide ribosomal RNA is filed under the name uncultured bacterium. RNAcentral describes it as "partial 16S ribosomal RNA". It matches the Rfam family "Bacterial small subunit ribosomal RNA", at positions 28 to 507 of the family's 1533-position model. The record is from RNAcentral.